ACAUACGGCCACAGAUUCGUGAAUAUAGGCCAUCCCGUCCGCUCUGGCAAACUCAAGCACGGAAUCGCGAGACUAGUACUACGGUGGGUGACCACGUGGGAAUCCCUCGUGCUGUAUGUU
This is a ribosomal RNA of Dothistroma septosporum NZE10, 120 nucleotides long. The record is from Rfam. NCBI's taxonomy places the organism in Eukaryota, Fungi, Ascomycota, Dothideomycetes, Mycosphaerellales, Mycosphaerellaceae.